Saccostrea cuccullata (small rock oyster) is the source of this 370-nucleotide long non-coding RNA. RefSeq lists it as uncharacterized. The transcript has 4 exons. Lineage: Eukaryota; Metazoa; Mollusca; Bivalvia; Ostreida; Ostreidae. The record is from RefSeq and is a predicted model, not a curated record.
UAUUUCACUGUUUAGAUCUGUGUCAUCUGUGGUUAUUACAAUGUUUCGAUUACUCUUUCUCUGUAUUAUUUUAUCUGUGGUGUUGUCACAAAGAUUCAAAAAGAUCUACACACCUGUAAGAGAUGUACGAUUCCCACAGGUUGCCCCGUUUUCUCUACAGCAGCGUCCUCCUUUCUGGCAAGUUGGUGUAGAAGGAAAUGUACAACUAAGGGAUGACAUAUGGAUACUUUGAAGAAAAAAAAUUGGCAAGAAAAUAAGCGGUCAAUGGCUAUGGCAAACGGAUAAUGAACUUUUCGAAAAUCUAUAGAUUACUUUUUCUUCAGAAGAAAGGCUUUUUUCUGUUUAAAUCCUGCCCUUUCUGUCCAAAAUA